CGGGCUUGGCUCAACCCG
RNAcentral lists this small nuclear RNA (18 nucleotides) under Arabidopsis thaliana (thale cress). Its description in RNAcentral is "snRNA_17743". The record is from RNAcentral. Lineage: Eukaryota; Viridiplantae; Streptophyta; Magnoliopsida; Brassicales; Brassicaceae.